Molecule: unclassified non-coding RNA, 894 nt
Filed under: Leishmania donovani
Lineage: Eukaryota; Euglenozoa; Kinetoplastea; Trypanosomatida; Trypanosomatidae
Description: gene:LdHU3.13.0480(CDS-product:Alba_putative)
Source: RNAcentral
UCUGCAAAUAAAGCUUUAGAGAGCAACAUUUAUUCCAAAAACCGCUACCUUUUCCUUUGUACCAAGAUGUCAGCUGAAAACGGCGGAAACGCGAUUGUUCGUGUGAGCUCGAACAAGCGCAAGUUCGGUUACGUUGACUACACGAAGCACCGUCUUCAUGAAGGCUACCCGGAGGUCGUCAUCUCCGCUCUCGGUACUGCAAUUGCCGACGCUGUCUCUGUUGUGGAGCUGCUCAAGAACCAGGGUGUCGUGGAGGUGAAGAAGAUUUGCACUUCACGCGCGCAGUUCGACGAUGUUCGCUCCACCACUACCGACAAGAUUGAGGUUGUUGUUGUCAAAUCUCCUGAUUUUGACGCUAUCUAUGAUCAGCAGCAGAAGGAUCGCGAAAUCGCAAAGGCCCGCGCGGAAGCGGAUGAGGCCGAUGAUGAGUAGCUCAGCUGCCUGGGUGGCGCGAAUCACAAAGAAAACCCAAAUUUGAAAGUCGCAACAAAUAUACACGGUCUCGCUAUCUUGUCCUCUAUUAAAGCGAAAAAAAAAUGACCAUCACUUUUUUUUGAUGACUGAAAAAACAAACAAAAAAGGAUUUAGGCAAUGAAAAAGUGUUGCUGUGCUGCGUAGGUAAAAUUCAAACAAAAAUGUCGAAAUGAAAAAAAAAAUGCAUGAAUCCUCUCCAGUGGUGAUUUGAUAUACCGCAGCUCGUGUGCUAGACGAGCCGACUAGGGUCGCGACGUGUUAGUUGAGAAAAAAAAAGGCACGAGAAAACGCUCAAUUUUUCAUAUCAAAGCACGGACUCAUUUUUUUCCUUUCGAAAAAUAUUGUAGCGGUGCGGCAGCUUUUUUUUUUGGAGCUGCCCGCAAAACGACCAUGAAAAAUAGAGUCCGAAUACUGUGCCCC